This 5721-nucleotide long non-coding RNA is filed under the name Sus scrofa (pig). Its description in RNAcentral is "lncRNA (ENSSSCG00065053466.1)". Lineage: Eukaryota; Metazoa; Chordata; Mammalia; Artiodactyla; Suidae. The record is from RNAcentral.
CCCGCCCCUGCCAGAUCAGGGGUAACAGGUGCCCCUGCUAUGUUCCCACAGCCCCUGCGCGCUUCCCUCUGCAGUUUUUAUCCAGCAAGUGCAUUCACUUAGGAAGGACAAUGAGACUCUACUGUGCACACCAUGUGCUCGGGGUGAGGUGGGAAGUGACGCUCUUGAGAAUAACCCAGACCGGCUCCCACCCUUCCCAGUGUGGCGGGAAAGGCAGACACCUAGUCAACAAGCAGAACCAUGCUGGGCGCCGGAUUACGGGCAGAGCUGUGUAGGAAAGCUGAGGCGUGCUGGCAGGAGGAUGUGGGGGGCAUUGAAGGAGGCCUGGGCUUGGCCUCAGUCCUGCAGCUGUGAGUGUGACCUUGGACACUAGGUCACUGGUUCGGUACCUACUGUGUGCGGAGCUGGAGGGACGCCUGAGAACCAUGGCUGUCACCCCCUGAUUUAUUCUCAUGUUUGUAGCUGGGAGUACAAAUGUGAGAAUAAUGGGGCCUGGAUGUUGGGGGUUUUGCCCCCUUUUGUUGGCUGCCCCUGAGCCAGGUGGAGACCACUGGCCUCUUGCAGAUGGGGAAGCUGGGGCCCACAGAAUGCCAAGGGGUGGGGGAAGCCAGAGCAUUUCUGCCUCGGCAUGCCCUAUGUCCUUGGCGCCCUGGCUGUCAGCGAGGCUUGUGCACAGCCUGGGGACAUACCAUCCCCUUAAACCCAAUCACUGCCUCUGUUUCGCAGAUGCAGAAACAGACUGAGAGAGGCAGGGUGGCAGAGCGAGGAUGUGUUCUUUUUUCCUUUUUUUUGAAAGUAUAACUUCCUACAGGAAAGUACGCAAAUCCUAGGUGUGUAGCUGGAUAGAUUUUCACAUACCUGGGUAGCCUUGAACUCCCAUCCGGGUCCCGGACCUUCGUGCCCCUUCUAGCCAUCGCCCACCUGGCAUCUAACAUCGGAGCCUGGCUUUGUCCAUCUCUGCUUGUCCUGUAAACAGGAUCACACACGACACCCUCUUUUGGGUCUGUUGCUUUCGCUCAGCACGACGUCUGGGCGAGGUGUCUGAGUCGUUGAUCUAGCAGAAGUUGACAGAGCUGGUAUUUGAACCCUUCCACUAACUCUGCCCACGACACCCAGAGAUCACGCCUGCUCACAACCCUCCAGUGUCUCCCAUCGCCCUUGGAAGAAGGACCCAAAUCCUCUCCCAGGCGUUGCUGCGUCAGCCCCUGCCCCUGUCACUGCCCUCCAGCCAUGUGGACAGAUGGGCCUUUCAUCCUCUAAAACCCUGAGCACCUUCCUAUCUCUGGGCCUUUUCACAUGCCUUUUCCCCCUCCUGUUUGCCCUCAGCCUCCUUCCAAUGCCUGCCUGGAGUGUCACCUCCUCCAGGUUGCCUGCCUGGACUUCCCCUGACUUGGCUGGACCCUCCUGCUGGAUGUCACGAGACUAGGCCAUGCUUUUUCUUCACUGCACAUGUCGUUUGUAAUUUAUUGUCUCUUAAGCAUCUGCUUCCCCCCACUAACAGUAGACUCCAGGAGGCAGGGAUGGUGUCUGCUGGGUUCAUGGCUACAUCCCCAGCACCAUUCACUGAUGCAUUUACCCCUCCUGCUGGUCAUCUGUUCAUUCAGCAGAUAGGGAGUGUCUGCCAUGCUGCAGCCUCUUAGCUGGUAUUUACUGAAUGAAUGGAUGGCUGAAUGAAUGAAUGAGUGUCCAUCUGCCUCUGAGGCCUCACUCCACUCCACUCCAUCAUCUCUCUUGCUACCUCCCUGGGCCUCAAUUUCCCCGGAUGCCAAAGGCACCAGACCUGCCCCUUCCAGCCCAGUUCUGAUUUCGAGGCUGUGGGGCAGAUGGGCUGGUUUCGGUUGUCAGAUGCCCGGGGGCAGCCGAGCUGAGCGGGGCAGUGACUGCAGGCUACAGGGCAGAUGCUGCCGCAGACAGCAAUGCCUGCCCGAGUGCUGGCCCCAGUGCUUGGCCCAGUGCUUUCACACCCGGGUUGCCAGCGCCCCUGAUGACCCUGUCGGGGUGAAGGGCUCAGGGGGCUUGCCAGGGCCCUGCAGCUGACCCCACCUCAGCUCCAGGCUUGGCCUGCUGGGCCUGGAAGGGAAGGAAUGAGUAGGGUUGCUCGCGUGUGGGAGGCAGUGGGAAGGAGGGCUGGGGGCCUGGCUUUGAGCCUGGCUUCUCCCCUUACAGCCGUGCCUCCUCCCUUCAUGAGCUCAGUUUCCCCAGGUGUGAAAAUGGCAGUGGCCUGUCCCGAUGGGGCCUCUGAGCGUCACAUGCUCUUGGGGGGCCAGGGGCAGGUCUCCGUGAGGCUGGCCUUGUCCAGGGCGCAGGCGGCCCCGGCCUCAGCUGGGAGCCGUGCAGGCGGCGCGCAGCGCGAGGUGGCUCAGCAGCUUAGCGGCUUGUCAGCCAGGCGGGCGGGUGUCCUGGGGCCAGGUUUGAUUAGUUCAGGUUGACAGUCGCGCUCCGCGGCGCUGCCGGGAGGGGAGCCCGUGAUUACCCUAAUGAAGCUUGAACGCAGUUUGUCAUCCAAACAGCUGGUUCGGAGCUGCGCUGCUGCCAGCUGCCCGACUCAGCCGCGCAAACGCGCGCCGAGCGCCACCCGAGCCCCGAGUGGCCCCGCCACCAGGAUGACCAGGAGAGGAGGCAGUGGCCCUGGGUGGGCUGUGGGGCAGUCCCAGGGGAGUGGGGUGGGCCACCCAGGGGUGGGGGACUGUCGGAGCCUUGGGCAGUGGAGCAGGGCAGCUUCUCAGGACACCUAAGGGCAGCCACCUGACUCUAGACCUCAGUUUCUGCAUCUGUAUUUCCCUGCAGCUUUAAGUCUCAGAUUUCAGGCCGAGUCAUCUCCUCCAGGAAUCCCUCUCAGACCCUGCAGGCUGAGUCCGGGGCCUCCACAGGCACCUUCAGCCCUCAAGACAAGCCCCAUCAUCCUGAUGGCCUUGCGUUGUCACCAAAGGUCUGGAUGGUUGUCGUUGUGUCUCAUUCAUUCAUUGAGCAAAUGUUGAUGAGAACACACUGCAGCGGGCAAGCCAGUCAGUCACCAUCCUGCUGUCACGGAGUCUGCAUUCUAGUGGGAGAGACUCCUGGGGUCUGGACCUCAUCUGGGGAGUCAGGGAGGGCUUCCUGGAGGAGGUGGCAACUGAGUGCAGAACAAAAGAGGAGAGAGAGAGAGACACAAGAGUGUUCCAGGCAGGAGGACCAGCACGUGCAAAGGCCCUGAGGUAGAAGGGAGAGUGUGGUGCUGGGGAGGACCGUAGCCAUCUGGCGACAUGCUGAAGGUGUCAGUGCUUCCCAGGGAAGGGCCUUUGUUCAUGCCCUGUGCUGGGCAGCUUCACCGUGGGACCUUUCAUUUAACCGUUCUGACAGCCCUGGAAGGAAGGAUCCUUGCCUUGUGCCGCAGAAGGGGAAACUGAGGCACACAGCAUGGGGGGUGUGGGAGCCCCAUGAGCCCCCUGAGGCCCUGGACCAGGAGCUGUCUGCUAAGCGUGGAUUAGAGUCCACAUGGGCGCUCAGAUGAGGAGGGGGCUGAACUGGGGCCUGGGACCCUGUCUAGGCCUUAAGCCCACGCCCAGCAGAGGCGGGCAGCCUGGGGCCUCCAUUGAAUGGUGAUUGGCUCCUGUUACUCUGGGCCAGGUCCCGUGUUUGAACCUAGGAACUCACACUUUCUCUACCACCCUCAGGGCCGUUUCCAGCCAGGUUGAGGCCACCCUUUUCUCAGGGCUCGGCUUGGAUGGGGGAUGGGGGGGAGGGAGUCAGGAGGGGAAGAGGUACUGGCCGCCCCCAUGGCCAGCCCUCGGCUGCCUCCCAGUUUUCUCUGCCAUUGUUGAAAGCUGGGUCCCAUCCCCGUCCUCCUGCAUCCCUGUAGUGGCCUCCUGAGUGGCUUUCCAGCAGGUGUCUGCUGUGGCCGUCCUGUCCCCACUUUCUCUCUUGACACUCCCCCACCACCGCCCCAUACCGUCCAUGACUCCCGCUGCUGCUGCAGCGUGAAGCUCGCUUUCUGGACUGGCGUUUAUGGCCUCCCAGCCUUGUCCCCUAGUCCCCUGCUCCCUUCGUCCCCUUGCUCUCCCUGAGUCACCACACCCUCUUCCUCCUGGAGAGGGGAGCGUGAGGCCUGGGUCCUGCAUGACCAUCUGUCCCGUGGCCCCUCUCGAGGCGGGUAUGUGCCAGACUCGACAGGCAGGUGCUCACCCGGCUGCUGGGCAGACGGAGCAGCCUGAGAGCCGCGCCGAAGGAUGGGUUUACGGCCUCACCGCAGGAAGGGAGGAAUUCCCACCACUCUGCUGCCUCCUUCUCACUGCCGCGUGGUGUGACUGCCGCUGUCACAGUUGCUGCUGCCACCUGCCUGGGGAGGUGGUGGCUCUGGAAGAGAGCUAGUUUAUCAGAUUCACCCGCCUCUCGCCUCCAGGAGACCCCACCGAGGUCCUGCCCUGGCUCAGAGAGAGAUGCAGGGAGGCGGGCUGCCAAAGAGGGGUGGGGAGUGAGCCCAGGGCGGGGACAGAGAUGGCCAGUGGGAUGCGGGUGUGGACAGAGUGGGCCCCAGCUUGCCCCUGGUUGGCAGUCAAGUGCUUCAGGGGGGUCACGCAUGGUGGGCAGGACUCCAGCCUUGGCGGGGGCUGGCCAAGAACACCGGGAAACGUGUGAUUCCUCCUCCCCCAGCCUCGGCUCGUGUUCCUUCUCCCACCCGGUAAGCCCUUCCUUGGCCGCAGCCUGCGUCACAGGCUCCCCCGGGCUCUGGAACGGGCCGCAGCAGGUGAAUUCAGUGAGAGCGAGCAGCGAGGCUCCCAAAGGUGUGUUGGGCCCUUGCCACGUGCUGGGCCCGGGUUAUGCAUUUCACGUGUAUCAUCCUCUGGGCCCCAACCCACAACCAGGUGAGGGAGUAUCGUCCCUCUGCCUGCUUUACACAUGCAGAAACUGAGGCCCAGAGAGGUUAAGUGACUCAGUAGGGUCACACAGCCAGGAGUGAGCUGGGUCUGAUCCUGGGUAGUCCGAAACUAAGGACUGAGCUUGUAACCAGAAGAUUGGGGGCAGGAAAAGGGCCCAGGUGGGGACAGCUGCCCAGGCUCAGGUGGGUUGUGGAGUGGGUGCUGUGCCUUUUUUUUUUUUUUUGAUUUUUAGGGCUGUACCCGUGGCACAUGGAGGUUUCAGGCUAAGGGUCCGAUCAGAGCUGCAUUUGCCAGCCUACACCACAGCCACAACAACACCGGAUCCUUAACCCACUGAGCGAGGCCAGAGAUUGAACCUGCAUCCUCGUGGAUACUGGUCGGGUUCGUAACCCGCCUAUCCACAGCAGGAACUCCAGAGCUGUGCCUGAGAACAGGCCUGAGCCCUGUGCGUUGAGUGUAGCUUGGGUCUUGGGGCCAAGUUAUCUCCACACGCUCCUUUGGAGAGGACUGGACCUCACAACCAUCAAGCACUGGGUCCUGAAAGCACCCGUCCUGUCCUACCCCGGGGAGGCCAGGGCUCCAGGCCACCUGUCUUCCCAGGAGACCCUGGCCAUUUGCUGAGAAAAGGUUCCCGAGAGUGGGCUCCGCAGAGGGUGCUGUGGCCCGGCUGCAGGGAACAGGGGUGUAGGGCAGGUGGAGAGGCCUGGGGGUGCGGUCUUCCUGCAGAAGGAGCAGCUCCCAGUCUCUCCAGGCCAGGCCUGGGAGGGUGGGUGGAGGGAAUGCAUGAGUUCAUCUAAGAGAAGAUAGGGCCUGACCCACUACACUGAUGGCACAUCGGAUGCUCACAGCUAUUAAAAAAAAAAAA